UUUGAAAUGGUUAAAACCAAAUUCUUGAUUACUUAUAAUAUAUUUUUUAUGCUUCCUUGAAGUAUCUAUCCUCUCUAAAAUCGAAAACUGAAACAAACAAAGGUUAAGUUAAAAUCUUUGUAUUUUAUUCAAAGCUAAUUCAUAACCUGUUUUCGAAGGACCCAAAAGAAGGGGAAGGGAAGGAAAAAGAGAAGGAAUAAGGGAAGGGUAGUCUGAAGAUACAUAUUAAAAAUAUUCAUGAAGAAGUGAAUCAUAAUCAUUUAAAAACACGUCAAAAAAAGAACCACGAACUGUAAGCUUCAAAUAUCACUUCUCUUAUAUUAAAUGAUUCUCUUAUUGUAGAAUUUAAUAUAUUAAUCUUUGUUCGAAUUGUAUAUUUUCUAUAUCAAACCCCAACUGUGUUCCCCUGCUGCUCCCCUCAUCAUUCUCAUUAUCUUAAAUAAUAUUUUUAUCAUUUUUCCUUUUUGCAGAUUAUUCCCUGACAAAAUACAACUUUGAACAAAAUAGAAAUUAUGAACAUUUUUUUAAUUUUAAGAAAUAACAAUUAUCAUUCUAAACUUUUAUGAAAGGAUAUUUGUCUCAUACUAUAUAAACUUUUUUAAAUAUGUUUUUUUAAUAUUUUUGACCAAAUUGUGUACAGCAGUUUUGUUUUCAUUUGAUAUGCAAUCCAUAUUUUUUUCAGAUAGAAUGGAAAAGACUUAAAACAAAGAGUUAAAUAUAUUAGAGCUGAGUAAAUCCGUCCAUCCUCCAUACUGAAGAUACAGGAAUACAGACCGAAUGGCAGAAAUUAUGGAAGAAGAUAAAGUAACCAUCAAAGAAGAAAUCUUUACUGUAGAGGAUACAUGUACUGUGUAUGUAGCUGAAGAAGAUAUAAAAGAGGAAAGUACAGAAAAUCAAGGUGAAAUUGUCAAGAUUAAAGACGAUCCCCUUUUCUCUGAUCAAAAGAGACUUAAGAUGAGUAGGCCGAGAGAUAAAAGAGAUAUGAAUUAUCCCUGUGGAAAAUGUUAUUAUGUGGCAACUAAA
This is a long non-coding RNA of Eurytemora carolleeae, 1023 nucleotides long. RefSeq lists it as uncharacterized. NCBI's taxonomy places the organism in Eukaryota, Metazoa, Arthropoda, Copepoda, Calanoida, Temoridae. The record is from RefSeq and is a predicted model, not a curated record. The transcript has 3 exons.